CACGUAGGGCGCAAGCGUUGUCCGGAAUUAUUGGGCGUAAAGAGCUUGUAGGCGGUCUGUUACGUCUGCUGUGAAAACCCGGGGCUUAACCCUGGGCUUGCAGUGGAUACGGGCAGACUAGAGGCAGGUAGGGGAGAAUGGAAUUCCCGGUGUAGCGGUGAAAUGCGCAGAUAUCGGGAGGAACACCGGUGGCGAAGGCGGUUCUCUGGGCCUGACCUGACGCUGAGGAGCGAAAGCGUGGGGAGCGAACAGG
Molecule: ribosomal RNA, 253 nt
Filed under: uncultured bacterium
Lineage: Bacteria
Description: partial 16S ribosomal RNA
Rfam family: Bacterial small subunit ribosomal RNA
Source: RNAcentral